RNAcentral lists this ribosomal RNA (694 nucleotides) under uncultured bacterium. RNAcentral's name for it is "bacterial SSU rRNA". It matches the Rfam family "Bacterial small subunit ribosomal RNA", at positions 60 to 747 of the family's 1533-position model. The record is from RNAcentral.
AGUCGAGGGGCAGCAUGGUGUAGCAAUACACUGAUGGCGACCGGCAAACGGGUGCGGAACACGUACGCAACUUACCCAAAACUGGGGAAUAGCCCGGGGAAACCCGGAUUAAUACCUCGUAACAUAAUGAAGUGGCAUCACUUUAUUAUUAUAGCUCCGGCGGUUUUGGAUGGGCGUGCGCCUGAUUAGGUAGUUGGCGGGGUAACGGCCCACCAAGCCUACGAUCAGUAACUGGUGUGAGAGCACGACCAGUCACACGGGCACUGAGACACGGGCCCGACUCCUACGGGAGGCAGCAGUAAGGAAUAUUGGUCAAUGGACGCAAGUCUGAACCAGCCAUGCCGCGUGAAGGAUGAAGGUCCUCUGGAUUGUAAACUUCUUUUAUAUGGGAAGAAACCCAUCUUUUCUUGGGUGGUUGACGGUACCAUAGGAAUAAGCACCGGCUAACUCCGUGCCAGCAGCCGCGGUAAUACGGAGGGUGCAAGCGUUAUCCGGAUUCACUGGGUUUAAAGGGUGCGUAGGAGGGCAGGUAAGUCAGUGGUGAAAUCUCCAAGCUUAACUUGGAAACUGCCGUUGAUACUAUCUGUCUUGAAUACCGUGGAGGUGAGCGGAAUAUGUCAUGUAGCGGUGAAAUGCUUAGAUAUGACAUAGAACACCAAUUGCGAAGGCAGCUCGCUACACGAAUAUUGACUCU